This 505-nucleotide ribosomal RNA is filed under the name uncultured bacterium. RNAcentral describes it as "partial 16S ribosomal RNA". It matches the Rfam family "Bacterial small subunit ribosomal RNA", at positions 28 to 507 of the family's 1533-position model. The record is from RNAcentral.
GACGAACGCUGGCGGCGUGCCUAAUACAUGCAAGUAGAACGCACAGUUUAUACCGUAGCUUGCUACACCAUAGACUGUGAGUUGCGAACGGGUGAGUAACGCGUAGGUAACCUGCCUGGUAGCGGGGGAUAACUAUUGGAAACGAUAGCUAAUACCGCAUAAUAUUAAUUAUUGCAUGAUAAUUGAUUGAAAGAUGCAACUGCAUCACUACCAGAUGGACCUGCGUUGUAUUAGCUAGUAGGUGAGGUAACGGCUCACCUAGGCGACGAUACAUAGCCGACCUGAGAGGGUGAUCGGCCACACUGGGACUUGGACAAGGCCCAGACUCCUACGGGAAGCAGCAGUAGGGAAUCUUCGGCAAUGGACGAAAGGCUGACCGAGCAACGCCGCGGGAGGGAAGAAGGUUGUCGGAUCGUAAAGCUCUGUUGUAAGAGAAGAACGGGUGUGAGAGUGGAAAGUUCACACUGUGACGGUAGCUUAACAGAAAGGGACGGCUAACUACGUG